RNAcentral lists this ribosomal RNA (921 nucleotides) under marine metagenome. Its description in RNAcentral is "bacterial SSU rRNA". It matches the Rfam family "Bacterial small subunit ribosomal RNA", at positions 280 to 1204 of the family's 1533-position model. The record is from RNAcentral.
UGUCUAGGGGGUCUGAGAGGAUGAUCCCCCACACUGGUACUGAGACACGGACCAGACUCCUACGGGAGGCAGCAGUAAGGAAUAUUGGGCAAUGGAGGAAACUCUGACCCAGCCAUGCCGCGUGCAGGAUUGACAGCUCUAGUAGUUGUAAACUGCUUUUAUAUGGGAAGAAAAGCAUCUACGUGUAGGUGUCUGACGGUACCAUAAGAAUAAGGACCGGCUAACUCCGUGCCAGCAGCCGCGGUAAUACGGAGGGUCCAAGCGUUAUCCGGAUUUAUUGGGUUUAAAGGGUGUGUAGNCGGAAAUAUAAGUCAGUGGUGAAAUCCUGCAGCUUAACUGCAGAACUGCCGCUGAAACUGUGUUUCUUGAGUAUAGUUGAAGUGGGCGGAAUGUGUCAUGUAGCGGUGAAAUGCAUAGAUAUGACACAGAACACCGAUUGCGAAGGCAGCUCACUAAACUAUUACUGACGCUGAGGCACGAAAGCGUGGGUAGCGAACAGGAUUAGAUACCCUGGUAGUCCACGCCGUAAACGAUGAUUACUCGAUGUUGGCGAUACACUGUCAGCGUCCAAGCGAAAGUGUUAAGUAAUCCACCUGGGGAGUACGGUCGCAAGAUUGAAACUCAAAGGAAUUGACGGGGGCCCGCACAAGCGGAGGAACAUGUGGUUUAAUUCGAUGAUACGCGAGGAACCUUACCUGGGCUUAAAUGUAAGAUGACAGAUUGAGAAAUCAGUCCUUCUUCGGACAUUUUACAAGGUGCUGCAUGGCUGUCGUCAGCUCGUGCCGUGAGGUGUCGGGUUAAGUCCCAUAACGAGCGCAACCCCUAUCUCUAGUUGCCAGCGAGUAAUGUCGGGGACUCUAGAGAACUGCCUACGCAAGUAGUGAGGAAGGUGGGGAUGACGUCAAGUCAGCACGGCCCUUA